This 428-nucleotide ribosomal RNA is filed under the name uncultured bacterium. RNAcentral's name for it is "bacterial SSU rRNA". It matches the Rfam family "Bacterial small subunit ribosomal RNA", at positions 504 to 930 of the family's 1533-position model. The record is from RNAcentral.
UGUGUCAGCAGCCGCGGUAAUACGGAGGUGGCAAGCGUUGUUCGGAAUUACUGGGCGUAAAGGGCGCGUAGGCGGUUUGGCAAGUCAGAUGUGAAAUCCCCGGGCUUAACUCGGGAGUUGCAUCUGAAACUGCUUUUCUUGAGUCCUGGAGGGGGUAGUGGAAUUCCCAGUGUAGCGGUGAAAUGCGUAGAUAUUGGGAGGAACACCUGUGGCGAAGGCGGCUACCUGGACAGUGACUGACGCUGAGGCGCGAAAGCUAGGGGAGCGAACGGGAUUAGAUACCCCGGUAGUCCUAGCCGUAAACGAUGGACACUUGGUGUUGGGGGUAUUGAGUCCCCCGGUGCCGGAGUUAACACGUUAAGUGUCCCGCCUGGGGAGUACGGUCGCAAGACUGAAACUUAAAGGAAUUGACGGGGGCCCGCACAAGG